GUGUUACCGGUGGAUCACGUGGCUAGUGUGUCGAUGAAGAGUGCAGCCAACUGUGUGAAUUAAUGCGAAUUGCUUACUGCUUUGAACAUCGACUUCUUGAACGCAUAUUGCGGCUACGGGGUAUCUCGUGGCCACGCCUGUCCGAGGGUUGGCUUUU
Molecule: ribosomal RNA, 157 nt
Filed under: Paradeontacylix iberica
Lineage: Eukaryota; Metazoa; Platyhelminthes; Trematoda; Strigeidida; Aporocotylidae
Description: Paradeontacylix ibericus partial 5.8S ribosomal RNA
Rfam family: 5.8S ribosomal RNA
About the family: 5.8S ribosomal RNA (5.8S rRNA) is a component of the large subunit of the eukaryotic ribosome. It is transcribed by RNA polymerase I as part of the 45S precursor that also contains 18S and 28S rRNA.
Source: RNAcentral